AGAGUUUGAUCAUGGCUCAAAGUGAACGCUGGCGGCGUGCUUUACACAUGCAAGUCGAACGGCAGCACGGACUUCGGUCUGGUGGCGAGUGGCGAACGGGUGAGUAAUAUAUCGGAACGUGCCCAGUCGUGGGGGAUAACGUAGUGAAAAUUACGCUAAUACCGCAUACGAUCUAAGGAUGAAAGCGGGGGAUCGCAAGACCUCGCGCGAUUGGAGCGGCCGAUAUCAGAUUAGGUAGUUGGUGAGGUAAAGGCUCACCAAGCCAACGAUCUGUAGCUGGUCUGAGAGGACGACCAGCCACACUGGAACUGAGACACGGUCCAGACUCCUACGGGAGGCAGCAGUGGGGAAUUUUGGACAAUGGACGCAAGUCUGAUCCAGCCAUUCCGCGUGCAGGACGAAGGCCUUCGGGUUGUAAACUGCUUUUGUACAGAACGAAAAGGUCUCUAUUAAUACUAGGGGCUCACGACGGUACUGUAAGAAUAAGCACCGGCUAACUACGUGCCAGCAGCCGCGGUAAUACGUAGGGUGCAAGCGUUAAUCGGAAUUACUGGGCGUAAAGCGUGCGCAGGCGGUUAUAUAAGACAGAUGUGAAAUCCCCGGGCUCAACCUGGGAACUGCAUUUGUGACUGUAUAGCUGGAGUGCGGCAGAGGGGGAUGGAAUUCCGCGUGUAGCAUUGAAAUGCGUAGAUAUGCGGAGGAACACCGAUGGCGAAGGCAAUCCCCUGGGCCUGCACUGACGCUCAUGCACGAAAG
Molecule: ribosomal RNA, 756 nt
Filed under: uncultured bacterium
Lineage: Bacteria
Description: bacterial SSU rRNA
Rfam family: Bacterial small subunit ribosomal RNA
Source: RNAcentral